Acanthochromis polyacanthus (spiny chromis) is the source of this 518-nucleotide long non-coding RNA. RefSeq lists it as uncharacterized. Lineage: Eukaryota; Metazoa; Chordata; Actinopteri; Pomacentridae. The transcript is spliced from 3 exons. The record is from RefSeq and is a predicted model, not a curated record.
UGUAAUUCCGUCACCUCUGUCUUUCAUUAAAGGUAUAUAAGAGCUGCAUUAAGCUGUCACACAGUCCAGCCGACAGCGACUCAUCCUACUCAGAGAGACGAGUGACAUCAGGCCCAAACAGACUCACCGCUGCAGCUGAAACAGCUAGUCCAACCUCAAGCCGAGAUCAAGAUGCCCACCACCACCAGAAUCAUCUCUGACACCCUGAAGACCGACAAAGGUAAGAAAAUCAAAGGUGGAAACGCACCCACAAAGAAGAUCCCAGAGUAUGAGCCAAACCUCCCUGAACCCAAAUGCAGAGCUGAUCUCAUCAAACGUAAGAAGAUGUUUUUUCUUUUGUUGUUAAUAUGUUUUAGUCCAAACAGGAUGUUGUGUUAAAUAACAGCUUAUUCAUAUUCUUUCAGACUGGAUUACUUUGUCUUUUGAUGACAAGACAGCCAAUAAGAUGCUAUGGAUCACAGAUGGUGGUGCUAAAGUGGCCCGUAUGACUGAUGAUGUUACUUGUCCUGUCUUGGACA